GGGUAUGUGGAGAAAUUGGUAAACUCGCCAGCUUGAGGGGCUGGUGCCGCAAGGCUUGGAGGUUCAAGUCCUCUCAUACCCA
This 82-nucleotide transfer RNA is filed under the name Patescibacteria group bacterium. RNAcentral describes it as "tRNA-Leu". It matches the Rfam family "tRNA". Rfam says of the family: Transfer RNA (tRNA) molecules are approximately 80 nucleotides in length. Their secondary structure includes four short double-helical elements and three loops (D, anti-codon, and T loops). The record is from RNAcentral.